This 365-nucleotide transfer RNA is filed under the name uncultured Microcystis sp. RNAcentral describes it as "partial 16S-23S ribosomal RNA intergenic spacer". The stretch from base 136 to 209 matches the Rfam family "tRNA". The record is from RNAcentral. Lineage: Bacteria; Bacillati; Cyanobacteriota; Cyanophyceae; Chroococcales; Microcystaceae.
AAAGGGAGACCUAAUUCAGGUAGGAGACGAAAAAAAAGUAGUCCCUACCAAGAAUCAAUCCCAAAAGGUCGGAGCGAGGCAAAAUUGGCUUUCAAACUAGGUUCUGGGUUCACACAAGACCUGAAUCAGGAACAAGGGCUAUUAGCUCAGGUGGUUAGAGCGCACCCCUGAUAAGGGUGAGGUCCCUGGUUCGAGUCCAGGAUGGCCCACCUGUACAGGUGGCAAAAACAAAGAAAAGAAGCGAGGAAUCAGCACCUUAUCUUACUUAUAUAGUAAGAGAGAAUGCUGGCUCUGAGUACAGAGUCCAGAGGAACCUUGAAAACUGCAUAGAGCUAGGUGAAAAAGCCAAAAAAGAAGACCGCAAG